This 331-nucleotide long non-coding RNA is filed under the name Gossypium barbadense (sea-island cotton). RNAcentral describes it as "long non-coding RNA (GBAR_LNC011750)". Lineage: Eukaryota; Viridiplantae; Streptophyta; Magnoliopsida; Malvales; Malvaceae. The record is from RNAcentral.
UGAGAUUUGUACUCGUGCUUAAAAUCCGUCCAAUCGGUAGUCACCUUUCCCCUAAGUAUCGGGAUUGACAACUCAUCCAUUAAGGAUAAUUCGAUUUUAAGACAAAAAGAGCUUGUUCGGUUGGAGUCGUGUUUUUUGACAGUUGGAGAAACAAAUCGGCCGUGCUGCAUUUGAAUCUCCGAGAACAAAUCGAGGAGGUGAUCGAGUUUAAACGACCCACGCAGUUGAGGCUGUUAAUUCGAGUUGGGUUCUUCAGAACGCAAGGCUGCUGAAAUCUUGAAUCGAGAACACGUGUAUCUCAGUUAGACUAUCGGUAAGGGUUGGUUUGCAG